This 174-nucleotide ribosomal RNA is filed under the name uncultured bacterium. RNAcentral's name for it is "partial 16S ribosomal RNA". It matches the Rfam family "Bacterial small subunit ribosomal RNA", at positions 118 to 291 of the family's 1533-position model. The record is from RNAcentral.
UGAGUAACCUGCCCCAGACUCUGGGAUAACCCCCGGGGAAACCGGAGCUAAUACCGGAUAUGACACGAAGAGGCAUCUCUAUCGUGUGGAAAGUUUUUCGGUCUGGGAUGGACUCGCGGCCUAUCAGCUUGUUGGUGAGGUAAUGGCUCACCAAGGCGACGACGGGUAGCUGGU